GUGGGGGAUAUUGCACAAUGGGGGAAACCCUGAUGCAGCGACGCCGCGUGAAGGAAGACGUACUUCGGUAUGUAAACUUCUAUCAGCAGGGAAGAAGAUGACGGUACCUGACUAAGAAGCCCCGGCUAACUACGUGCCAGCAGCCGCGGUAAUACGUAGGGGGCAAUCGUUAUCCGGAUUUACUGGGUGUAAAGGGAGCGUAGACGGUGAAGCAAGGCUGAUGUGAAAACCAGUGGCGCAACUCCGGGAUUGCAUUGGAAACUGUUUUACUUGAGUGCUGGAGGGGCAAGCGGAAUUCCUGGUGUAGCGGUGAAAUGCGUAGAUAUCAGGAAGAACACCGGUGGCGAAGGCGGCUUGCUGGACAGUAACUGACGUUGAGGCUCGAAAGCGUGGGGAGCAAACAGGAUUAGAUACCCCGGUAGUCC
This 425-nucleotide ribosomal RNA is filed under the name uncultured bacterium. RNAcentral's name for it is "partial 16S ribosomal RNA". It matches the Rfam family "Bacterial small subunit ribosomal RNA", at positions 354 to 796 of the family's 1533-position model. The record is from RNAcentral.